RNAcentral lists this ribosomal RNA (881 nucleotides) under uncultured bacterium. RNAcentral describes it as "bacterial SSU rRNA". It matches the Rfam family "Bacterial small subunit ribosomal RNA", at positions 8 to 916 of the family's 1533-position model. The record is from RNAcentral.
AGAGUUUGAUCAUGGCUCAGGACGAACGCUGGCGGCGUGCUUAACACAUGCAAGUCGAACGAGUCAGCAAUGACGAGUGGCGGACGGGUGAGUAACACGUAGGUAACCUGCCCUGCAGUGGGGGAUACCCAGUCGAAAGACUGGCUAAUACCGCAUUCGCUCGUUAGUUGAAAUACUGACGAGGAAAGAUUUAUCGCUGGAGGAGGGGCCUGGGUCCGAUUAGCUAGUUGGUGAGGUAAUGGCUCACCAAGGCGACGAUCGGUAGCUGGUCUGAGAGGACGAUCAGCCACACUGGAACUGAGACACGGUCCAGACUCCUACGGGAGGCAGCAGUGGGGAAUUUUCCGCAAUGGGCGAAAGCCUGACGGAGCAACGCCGCGUGGAUGAUGAAGCCUUUCGGGGCGUAAAAUCCUUUCAGCAGGGACGAACAAAAUGACGGUACCUGCAGAAGAAGCAUCGGCUAACUACGUGCCAGCAGCCGCGGUAAUACGUAGGAUGCGAGCGUUGUCCGGAAUUAUUGGGCGUAAAGAGAACGUAGGUGGUUUCUUAAGUUUGGGCUUAAAGACUGGGGCUUAACCCCAGGACUGGCUCGAAAACUGGGAGACUCGAGGAUGUCAGAGGAAAGUGGAAUUCCGAGUGUAGCGGUGAAAUGCGUAGAUAUUCGGAGGAACACCAGUGGCGAAAGCGACUUUCUGGGACAUUCCUGACACUGAGGUUCGAAAGCUCGGGGAGCAAACAGGAUUAGAUACCCUGGUAGUCCGAGCCGUAAACGAUGGACACUAGGUGUCGCGGGUAUCAACCCCUGCGGUGCCGUAGCUAACGCGUUAAGUGUCCCGCCUGGGGAGUACGGUCGCAAGACUGAAACUCAAAGGAAUUGACGG